CAACGUACAGGCUGCCGGGAAUACUGCAGAUCUAGGGAGUGGGAGAGGUAGACGGUACUCGGGAGGAAGUGGUAAAAUGCUUUGAUCUCUCGAUGACCACCUGUGGCGAAGGCGGUCUACCAGAACACGUCCGACGGUGAGGGAUGAAAGCUGGGGGAGCAAACCGGAUUAGAUACCCGGGUAGUCCCAGCUGUAAACUAUGCAAACUCAGUGAUGCAUUGGCUUGUGGCCAAUGCAGUGUUGCAGGGAAGCCGUUAAGUUUGCCGCCUGGGAAGUACGUACGCAAGUAUGAAACUUAAAGGAAUUGGCGGGGGAGCACCACAAGGGGUGAAGCCUGCGGUUCAAUUGGAGUCAACGCCAGAAAUCUUACCCGGAGAGACAGCAGAAUGAAGGUCAAGCUGAAGACUUUACCAGACAAGCUGAGAGGUGGUGCAUGGCCGUCGCCAGCUCGUGCCGUGAGAUGUCCUGUUAAGUCAGGUAACGAGCGAGAUCCCUGCCUCUAGUUGCCACCAUUACUCUCAGGAGUAGUGGGGCGAAUUAGCGGGACCGCCGCAGUUAAUGCGGAGGAAGGAAGGGGCCACGGCAGGUCAGUAUGCCCCGAAACUCUGGGGCCACACGCGGGCUGCAAUGGUAAUGACAAUAGGUUCCGAAUCCGAAAGGAAGAGGUAAUCCCUAAACAUUACCACAGUUAUGACUGAGGGCUGCAACUCGCCCUCACGAAUAUGGAAUCCCUAGUAACUGCGUGUCAUUAUCGCGCGGUGAAUACGUCCCUGCUCCUUGCACACACCGCCCGU
This 794-nucleotide ribosomal RNA is filed under the name uncultured archaeon. Its description in RNAcentral is "bacterial SSU rRNA". It matches the Rfam family "Archaeal small subunit ribosomal RNA", at positions 560 to 1353 of the family's 1478-position model. The record is from RNAcentral.